Molecule: unclassified non-coding RNA, 182 nt
Filed under: Papiliotrema frias
Lineage: Eukaryota; Fungi; Basidiomycota; Tremellomycetes; Tremellales; Rhynchogastremaceae
Description: partial internal transcribed spacer 2
Source: RNAcentral
AAUCGCAAUCCCCCCGGGUUUUCUGAACCCGAGGUGGACUUGGACAUGGGCGCUGCCGUCUUGUACGGCUCGCCUUAAAUGAAUCAGUGGGAUCUUCAGCAUCCGUGGCAGACGUAAUAAGUUUCGUCUCGUCCCUUGCUGUGAGGACCGCUCAUAACCUGCCAUCGCGCAACCAAUUUUGA